CCUACGGGGUGCAGCAGUGGGGAAUAUUGCACAAUGGGGGAAACCCUGAUGCAGCGACGCCGCGUGAGUGAAGAAGUAUUUCGGUAUGUAAAGCUCUAUCAGCAGGGAAGAAGAAAGACGGUACCUGACUAAGAAGCCCCGGCUAACUACGGGCCAGCAGCCGCGGCAAUACGGAGGGGGCAAGCGUUAGCCGGAAUUACUGGGUGUAAAGGGAGCGUAGACGGCUGUGCAAGUCUGAUGUGAAAGCCCAGGGCUCAACCCUGGGACUGCAUUGGAAACUGUGGAGCUAGAGUGCUGAAGAGGUAAGUGGAAUUCCUUGUGUAGCGGUGAAAUGCGUAGAUAUCAGGAGGAACACCAGUGGCGAAGGCGACCUGCUGGACUGCAACUGACGUUGAGGCCCGAAAGCGUGGGGAGCAAACAGGAUUAGAUACCCCUGUAGUC
RNAcentral lists this ribosomal RNA (441 nucleotides) under uncultured bacterium. RNAcentral describes it as "partial 16S ribosomal RNA". It matches the Rfam family "Bacterial small subunit ribosomal RNA", at positions 338 to 795 of the family's 1533-position model. The record is from RNAcentral.